RNAcentral lists this ribosomal RNA (49 nucleotides) under Crataegus rhodamae-loveae. Its description in RNAcentral is "partial 5.8S ribosomal RNA". The record is from RNAcentral. Lineage: Eukaryota; Viridiplantae; Streptophyta; Magnoliopsida; Rosales; Rosaceae.
UGCAGAGUCCCGUGAACCAUCGAGUCUUUGAACGCAAGUUGCGCCGUCA